AGUGCAAAAAGAAUAAAGCAAUAAUAAUGUACUAACGCGAAAAAACAAAGAGUUGCAGCAAAACGGUGACGUUUUUAAGGCAAAUCUCCCAUGGAAACUGCCAAUGGACUCGGUACCGGUGUUGCUCCCGAGCCGCGUGAAACACAAAAGGGAGUCUUAAGUGUGAAAGCUGCGGUGAGCAAAAGAGCCACACUUCUCCGUGAGAGAGAAAGGGCAAUUCCAAGCAGACUCCGAAAUGGCGAUAUCCGGGAAUUUAAGGGUUCGCUGCUACCCUCGCCUCUUACCAUCAACACCACCCUUUUCGAAGCUCCGUCCCCUCUUCAAAGAUUUUCUCAAUUCCGUGGUUGGUUGCCGAAUAAGAUUUCAGUGUCUAUUUGAGGGUUAGAGUUGCAGAUACUAUUCUGAAUCGUUUGAAUUCCAAGUUUUGAGCCGCUCUUUUCCAACCAAAUGGAGGAUGAGCUAAUUGGGUUUUCCUAAUUUUUGUAGCAGCAGCUGCAGCAACAUGUAGCCCUGUAAACCCUUACCAGUGCUCUAAUUUUCAACUUCGGCAAAAUAUUUUCUGGGUUUUAUUAGCUGUCCUUUUGUCUAAUUAUUUUAUGCUUUGUCCUUCUUGGGUUUGUAAGCUUCAAUUUUUUGUGCAGUUUGCUUUGCAAGUAUCUACUUUUUAUCGAAAAUUUGCACUUCAUCAAAGUCAAAUACAUACCUGUUUUUGUUGGCCUUGUCUUCUUUCAAUCGAUGGUCAUGACUAUGGGUUGAUCUUGUU
Theobroma cacao (cacao) is the source of this 763-nucleotide long non-coding RNA. RefSeq lists it as uncharacterized. The record is from RefSeq and is a predicted model, not a curated record. NCBI's taxonomy places the organism in Eukaryota, Viridiplantae, Streptophyta, Magnoliopsida, Malvales, Malvaceae.